UACGUAGGUCCCGAGCGUUGUCCGGAUUUAUUGGGCGUAAAGCGAGCGCAGGUGGUUUAUUAAGUCUGGUGUAAAAGGCAGUGGCUCAACCAUUGUAUGCAUUGGAAACUGGUAGACUUGAGUGCAGGAGAGGAGAGUGGAAUUCCAUGUGUAGCGGUGAAAUGCGUAGAUAUAUGGAGGAACACCAGUGGCGAAAGCGGCUCUCUGGCCUGUAACUGACACUGAGGCUCGAAAGCGUGGGGAGCAAGCAGG
Molecule: ribosomal RNA, 252 nt
Filed under: uncultured bacterium
Lineage: Bacteria
Description: partial 16S ribosomal RNA
Rfam family: Bacterial small subunit ribosomal RNA
Source: RNAcentral